CCGCGACCCCAGGUCAGGCGGGACUACCCGCUGAGUU
RNAcentral lists this ribosomal RNA (37 nucleotides) under Veronica ochracea. Its description in RNAcentral is "partial 28S ribosomal RNA". The record is from RNAcentral. Lineage: Eukaryota; Viridiplantae; Streptophyta; Magnoliopsida; Lamiales; Plantaginaceae.